AACCUUGCACUGGAGUAUAUCCAUACCUGUGAAGUAAUAACUGAGGCUGGAUUAUUGCUGAUUGAAAACUUUUUACCAAUCACCGCGAGACGACAAACUCUUUGAGGGAGUCGGCUUCGCAAUUUUUGGAACGACCUCUGGUC
Anaeromyces robustus is the source of this 143-nucleotide small nuclear RNA. It matches the Rfam family "U4 spliceosomal RNA". From Rfam's summary of the family: U4 small nuclear RNA (U4 snRNA) is a component of the major U2-dependent spliceosome. The record is from Rfam. NCBI's taxonomy places the organism in Eukaryota, Fungi, Neocallimastigomycota, Neocallimastigomycetes, Neocallimastigales, Neocallimastigaceae.